This 364-nucleotide ribosomal RNA is filed under the name uncultured bacterium. RNAcentral's name for it is "bacterial SSU rRNA". It matches the Rfam family "Bacterial small subunit ribosomal RNA", at positions 129 to 507 of the family's 1533-position model. The record is from RNAcentral.
CCUUGGAGUGGGGAAUAACAGCUGGAAACAGCUGCUAAUACCGCAUGAUGCAGUUGAGUCGCAUGGCUCUGACUGCCAAAGAUUUAUCGCUCUGAGAUGGACUCGCGUCUGAUUAGCUAGUUGGCGGGGUAACGGCCCACCAAGGCGACGAUCAGUAGCCGGACUGAGAGGUUGGCCGGCCACAUUGGGACUGAGACACGGCCCAGACUCCUACGGGAGGCAGCAGUGGGGAAUAUUGGGCAAUGGGCGCAAGCCUGACCCAGCAACGCCGCGUGAAGGAAGAAGGCUUUCGGGUUGUAAACUUCUUUUCUCAGGGACGAAGAAAGUGACGGUACCUGAGGAAUAAGCCACGGCUAACUACGUG